CCUAAGGUUGCGAAUCCAAAGAAGCUGAAUGAGUUCAGACCAAUCAGUCUAUGUAACUUAGUUUACAAGGUCAUCUCUAAGUAUCUGGUAAAUCGUUUGAGACCUCUCCUUGAUGUUAUUGUUGCUCCUGAGCAGAGCGCCAUCGUCCCUGGUAGACUUAUUACAGAUAAUGCUUUCAUAGCUUUUGAGUGUAUGCAUACCAUCAAACAGGAAAGGAAUCAGGAGAAUAGUUUCCGUGCUUACAAGUUGGACCUAUCAACGGCAUAUGACAGGGUAGACUGGAAUUUCCUAGAGCGAAUGAUGCAACAUUUGGGUUUUCAUCACCGGUAG
RNAcentral lists this ribosomal RNA (330 nucleotides) under Triticum aestivum (bread wheat). RNAcentral's name for it is "partial small subunit ribosomal RNA". Lineage: Eukaryota; Viridiplantae; Streptophyta; Magnoliopsida; Poales; Poaceae. The record is from RNAcentral.